RNAcentral lists this ribosomal RNA (492 nucleotides) under uncultured bacterium. RNAcentral describes it as "partial 16S ribosomal RNA". It matches the Rfam family "Bacterial small subunit ribosomal RNA", at positions 29 to 507 of the family's 1533-position model. The record is from RNAcentral.
AGUGAACGCUGGCGGUAUGCCUAACACAUGCAAGUCGAACGGCAGCACAGUAAGCUCUUGCUCUUACGGGUGGCGAGUGGCGGACGGGUGAGGAAUACAUCGGAAUCUACUUUUUCGUGGGGGACAACGUAGGGAAACUUACGCUAAUACCUCAUACGACCUACGGGUGAAAGCAGGGGAUCUUCGCACCUUGCGCGAUUGAAUGAGCCGAUGUCGCAUUAGCUAGUUGGCGUGGUAAAGGCCCACCAAGGCAACGAUCCGUAGCUGGUCUGAGAGGAUGAUCAGCCACACUGGAACUGAGACACGGUCCAGACUCCUACGGGAGGCAGCAGUGGGGAAUCUUGGACAAUGGGCGCAAGCCUGAUCCAGCCAUACCGCGUGGGUGAAGAAGGCCUUCGGGUUGUAAAGCCCUUUUGUUGGGAAAGAAAAGCAGCAGGUUAAUACCCCGCUGUUCUGACGGUACCCAAAGAAUAAGCACCGGCUAACUUCGUG